CGGGGAGCUGGAGCAGGCCUCUGAGAACUGCCGGCUGCGGUGGUUUCUGGUUGCCAUACACAGAGGCAAACAAAGCCGAGGCCACGCGGGGUAGCCCCGCCCAGCGCCAGGCUCCGGCUCCGGUUUCCCACCCCUCACCGGGUGGCGCCAGGUCACCCCGGGAUGUUUUCCUCCGCAGGUUGCCUUCUGGGGAGCAGGUGGGAGGGCUGCCCACCUCUGGGGACUUUUCUGGGGCUCUGUAGGGCCCGCCUGCUGGAGAACAGCCUCUGGGUCCAGAGGAGCCUCCGGGCCCCUCUUAUCAGCUCAGAAGGCGGUUUGGUGCUCGGUUCUGCGGAAAACAAAGGGUUUGCGCCUUGGGGCACCAAGCAGACAAAAGUGCUCUGCUAAGGAAAAUACCCUAAAACCACCUUUUUCUCGACGGUGGCUUUUUAUGCUAAGCAGCAGGGCCGUUCAUUCAUUCAUUCAUUCGUUCAUUCAUUCAUUCAUUCGUUUGUUCAUUCAACAAGUAUUUAUUGGCACCCUAUGCCUAGGGACACUUUGGCCCAGAACAAAGUUCCCAUUCUCAAGUAGCUAACAAUGGGGGCAGGGGGGGGGGGAGGGAGGGGAAGAAGGCAAUAUAUAAAGAAGAUCAUUAAGAAAUAAGAUGAAGGGGCGCCUGGGUGGUUCAGUGGGUUGAGCGUCAGACUUCGGCUCAGGUCAUGAUCUCAUGGUUCCUGAUUUCGAGCCCCACGUCAGGCUCUGUAUUGACAGCUCAGAGCCUGGAGCCUGCUUCGGAUUCUGUGUCUCUCCCUCCCUCUCUGCCCCUCCCCUGCUCACGCUCUGUCUCUCUCUCUCUCUUUCUCUCUCAAAAUAAACAUUAAUUUUUUUUUUUUAAAUGAAGACUAUGAAGGUGGAAUAAUAAAAGGGGAGGCUCCUUUAGAUUUUGGUGGUCAAGGAGGCCUCUCUGAGAGGUGGUCAAGACCUGAGAGAUAAAACCUACUUGCCCGUUUGAGAGACAAGCUGGGAAGAGAGUUUCCGGCCAGGAGGGCAACAGAGACUUGAGGUUGGAGGGGGAUCUUCAUGGACCACUAGAUAGAACCAGUGACUGGGAGUCAGCUAGACCUGAGUUCAAGUACUGAUUCUGCCACUUAUUAGCUGUGUGACUCACUGUGGGUAAGUUACCAAACUCUUUAUACCUCGGCUUCCCUAUCCGUCAUAUGGGCCACUAACCACCGACCUUCAAAGGCUCUUCAAGGAUUAAAUGAAACGUGGAUUAACUGAAAGGCAGUCACCUCUGGGCACAUCAGAAAGGCUUGAGAAAGGCUCUUUGUCCUCUUGUGAUCUAGCUGGUCGCCAUUCUGUCACGCAAGCAGCAGUGCCACUCCCCAUGGUGUCCUGGUGAAAGGAAACAGGGAGAAGUGGACUGUCUUUCCCCAUCCUGACAGAUACCCUGAGCCUGUGCUCAUAUCAUAGUUCCCUCUGGGGCCAUCAGAGCUUUGUUUGGGGACAGCCUUUACUUGGAGACCACCAACCCUAGCCUGUCGACUGUGGCGAGGUAUGCCUUUUCUGGGCCUCAGUUUCCUCAUCUAUAAGAAGCACCUGAAGAGACCUUCACGUGUUCUCCUUUCCCAUCCAACUGCCAGCUCUAAGCCCCUGUCCUCAUCCAAGCCUGGGAAUGCUCUGGAACCACUGAGGUUCAUUUGGGCUGGCUCAAGGAGACAGAGGGAAAAGGAAAUAGACACUACCUGGGAAGGGGCAGCAAGGGGUCUUGGACCUCUGGAAGACAGAGGUGUGAUGGAGAUGUGACUGGUCCCCGUGGGAAUGAGUCCCCAUACAAUCUCCUGCCAAGUAUCACAUUCUCCCAGCCCCCUUUUCUCCAACUCCGGGUAAUCCUUUGCCAUGGGCCACACGGCAAAGUUCGGGUUUAAAAGCUUCAUUAAGGCUGACACCAACAGACCCUUGAAGUUGGCUGCCUCCUUUCUCAUUCUUCAUAUGUAUUCCUGUAUUCAUUCAUUCAACAGUUAUGUAGUACUUACCUUUAGUUUGUAAAACACUCCAUAUUUACCUCCCCACAGCCCUACUCACUCUCUGGAAUUUGUAAACUUGUCUACACUCCCUUGACCAGACUCACUUUGGCACAUAAUUCAAGGUCCUCCGAAGAUGUGACCACUGCCUUCCUUUCCAGAUCUUUUUUUUUUUUUUUUUUAAAUCCCAGCUCCUGUCCUCCACUCACGUUGAGACUUGUAGUUCUCAUAACAGGAUAUGCUCUUUCUUGCUACCCUUACCUCUGCACCUGCUAGGCUUUUGCUUGAAUGCUCAAAAUAUCUCUUGCUCAAAUAUCACCAAAUCCAUAAAGCCUUCUUUGACCUUUAAGACUUUCUCAUCUGUCAUCGGUAUUCUGAAAACAUGUAGCUUUCAUCCCACUGCUGUGACCAAGGGUCAUAAUCCAACUGCCCCCUGGGCCAGGUAGGCCGCAUAACUGAGAAUUGGGCCACUGGGGACUGUGGUGACAUAGGAAGUUCAUGCUCUGUACUACAGGGAAGCUGCCAAUCAAGGCGGAAACGGAGGCCCCAGUGUUGCCAAACCUUACUGUGUUUGUUUUGUUUUGUUUUGUUUUUUCAGAGAGAGAGAGAAUGGGAGUGGGGGGAGGGGCAGAGGGAGGGAGAGACCAUCUCAAGCAGGCUCCACGCUCAGUGCAGCCCAAUGCAGGGCUCAGUCCCACAACCCUGGGAUCAUGACCUGAGCUGAAAUCGAGCUGGACGCUCAACCGACUGAGCCACCCAGGCGCCCCUGGACCUUACUAUUUGUAGUAAGGAAGCCAGGAAUCGGUAUUUUAACAUAAAAUCUUUUUUCAGAAACUUUGUAUGGACCAAACAAGACAGCCGCAACCUGGAUGCAGCCCACUGACUGUUCAUCCGUGUGGUAAUGAUAUAACAGUACUUCACCGAUGGCCAAAGAAUCUUCCGGCGUAUGGAUAGAUCACAUUAUGCGCACUCUGUGUGUUCAUUCAUUGUUUACGGACACUUGGGCUGCUUCCGUUUUGGAGUAUCCUGAAUAAUGCUGCUGUGAACAUUCAACAGGUUUCAUGUGGACGUAUGUCUUCAUUUCCCUUGGGUAUAUAUCCAGGAGUGGAAUCUACUUUCUUCUAAAAGGAAGAAAAAAAAAAUCCCUCAUGUCAAAAUAUGUAUAGCAUGGAGUAGGUUUAAAAUGUCACUUGUAACUCUGACAGAACGAAUGAAUCUCCUGAGUGUGGGGACUGCAGCUGUACCUGGCACAUACAGAAGAGCAGUGAAUAUUUUUGAAAGAAUGCUCAACAUAUUACUCAUUCCGAUGCUCCCAGUGAAAAGGCCAGGCUGUGGAAAUGUGAUAAAAAUCGGCCUUCAUCCAUUCCUUUAUUCAGUAAAUAUCAUAGCACAUAGUAGUUCAUUAAAUGCUGCUUGAGUUUCA
Long non-coding RNA from Felis catus (domestic cat), 3426 nucleotides. RefSeq lists it as uncharacterized. The transcript has 2 exons. The record is from RefSeq and is a predicted model, not a curated record. NCBI's taxonomy places the organism in Eukaryota, Metazoa, Chordata, Mammalia, Carnivora, Felidae.